GGGAGGAGGGAGGGGACAAAAGGAAGUGGGAGGAGCCACUGACCAAGAUAGGAGGCCUGGGCCAAGAGACUGGCCAAGAGAGUAAAGGGUAGACCAGAAGGGCCAGGUAACAAAAUGGCUGGACUAAAUGGGGAAGGGUGGCUGGUGGAAGGGUUACCCAGCUCCUGGGCUGGAAAUGUUUAGGGUAGGGGGCAGGGUUUGCCAGCCAUACUCUAUUACAGAUAGGAACUGAGGGAUGCUGGGAAAACCUGAUGGCCAUUGUCUGCUUUGAUAUGUUAAUGGACACCUGUUAGCUGGUUGUCCAGAGUUUGAGACCUAACAUCCCAGCCUCUUUUUGUUGAUAAUAAGAGGAGACACAAUCUUUUCUAUGACUAAUUCCUGCUGACCCUGGGGAAUCGUUGGUAGGAACAGAAGAAAGCAGGAAUGUUGGCCAAGACCUGAAAGAGAGGGAGGGGAGUGGAGUCUGCUUUGCUUGCUGUCCAGGCUCUCGGGACCAUCUGAGGAAGUGCAGGCCUCUUUGUAGAGGUCUGUGAUGCUGGACCACCCUCAGCUAGCCAGCCACUUUGGAGCUGUGGUAUAGAUUCCAAAGGAAUACCUGAAGCUGGCUCCACAUCUGUGAAGCAGAGUUUAGAACUGGCACGUACAGCAACAGACAUUUGCUCAGUGUGCGUGAGGUCCCGGGCUUCUUCCCCAACACCCAAAGAGCCACAGUGAAGAACACUCUGGAGUUACCACUGCCUUGACGUCAGAGAGGACAACUUAACACGCAAUACAACACCUGCCAGGAUGAGGCCGGGGAAGCUUGAGGGGCCAUGGAUUCUAGAGUACAAACCUUUCCCAACGUUUGAAGAAGGGAAAUGAGAAAAAAUGAACACCCAGAAGCUGGCAGCUCACCUGGUCCUGUGUCCACAAGUGGUGAAGAGACCUCCUCUCAAAUAAGAUAGAAGGAAGACUCUGUUCUUCCAGAAACCUCCGGAGACAGAUACCCACCAGACCAUCAAGAGCCUCUUGCCAUUGAAUACUUCUUAUCACCCAAACCACUAAACCAUGAAGCUUUACCCACAUGUCUACCUCUUAAAGUUUGUCAACUAUAUUAUUAUUUCAUACUUGUUGGUGUCGUCAACCCUAAGUGAAUAUUCAAUCAUUAUCCACUUGAAAUGGACGAAUGAACACAUCUCAAGGUUCUUCUGUUCAUGUUGCCUUUACUUGCGUUUUGGGUUUUUAUUCUGGUUUCACUCCUAGUAGAAUAAUGAUUUACUAAUUAAAGAGAAGAGACGAGAAGAGGAGUCAGAUGGUGGUGGCACACAUCUUUAAUCCCAAUACUCUGGAGGCAGAAGCAAGUUGAUCUCCCAGUUCAAGGGCAACCUGGUAUAGAGUGAGUUCCAGGACAGCCAGGGUUACACAGAGAAACCCUGCCGAAAGAAAGAAAAGAAAAGAAAAGAAAAGAAAAGAAAAGAAAAGAAAAGAAAAGAAAAGAAAAGAAAAGAAAAGAAAUAUGGUGUUACUAUGUAGCUCCAACUGGCCACAAACUUGAUAUUCUUCUGCUUCAGCCUCUCAAAUGCUUUGGAUUACAGGCUUGUGCUACCAUGCCUGAUGCUACUUAUUUUAGAAUUUGACCAUGGGAAUCUAGAAGAUGGUUCAGUGCUUAACAGCACUGGAUGCUCUUGCAGGUUCAAUUUCCAACACCUGCACAGUAGCUCACAGCUGCCUGUAACUCCAGUUCCAGCAGAUCUGAUGUUCAGUUCUGAGGGGCCAGGCACACUCAUGGCAGACAGACACACUUGCAGCUAAAAGAUUCAUGCAAUAAAAAUAAAUAAAGAUAUUAAAAAAUAAAUUGUA
Mus musculus (house mouse) is the source of this 1839-nucleotide long non-coding RNA. RefSeq annotates it as predicted gene, 40723. The transcript is spliced from 4 exons. Lineage: Eukaryota; Metazoa; Chordata; Mammalia; Rodentia; Muridae. The record is from RefSeq and is a predicted model, not a curated record.